RNAcentral lists this ribosomal RNA (756 nucleotides) under bacterium Xen2-10-48. Its description in RNAcentral is "bacterial SSU rRNA". It matches the Rfam family "Bacterial small subunit ribosomal RNA", at positions 49 to 784 of the family's 1533-position model. The record is from RNAcentral.
CUAAACAUGCAGUCGAGCGGGACGAGUUAUCUGAACCUUCGGGGAACGAUAACGGCGUCGAGCGGCGGACGGGUGAGUAAUGCCUAGGAAAUUGCCCUGAUGUGGGGGAUAACCAUUGGAAACGAUGGCUAAUACCGCAUAACGCCUACGGGCCAAAGAGGGGGACCUUCGGGCCUCUCGCGUCAGGAUAUGCCUAGGUGGGAUUAGCUAGUUGGUGAGGUAAGGGCUCACCAAGGCGACGAUCCCUAGCUGGUCUGAGAGGAUGAUCAGCCACACUGGAACUGAGACACGGUCCAGACUCCUACGGGAGGCAGCAGUGGGGAAUAUUGCACAAUGGGCGCAAGCCUGAUGCAGCCAUGCCGCGUGUGUGAAGAAGGCCUUCGGGUUGUAAAGCACUUUCAGUCGUGAGGAAGGUAGUGUAGUUAAUAGCUGCAUUAUUUGACGUUAGCGACAGAAGAAGCACCGGCUAACUCCGUGCCAGCAGCCGCGGUAAUACGGAGGGUGCGAGCGUUAAUCGGAAUUACUGGGCGUAAAGCGCAUGCAGGUGGUUUGUUAAGUCAGAUGUGAAAGCCCGGGGCUCAACCUCGGAAUUGCAUUUGAAACUGGCAGACUAGAGUACUGUAGAGGGGGGGUAGAAUUUCAGGUGUAGCGGUGAAAUGCGUAGAGAUCUGAAGGAAUACCGGUGGCGAAGGCGGCCCCCUGGGACAGAUACUGACACUCAGAUGCGAAAGCGUGGGGAGCAAACAGGAUUAGAUA